AGUCAUCUCUACAUGAUAUCCCACAGAUGCCAUAAGAGGUUAAAUAAAUUGAUGACCAAGAAAUCUCUAUUUGAUUUACCAACAUGUAAGUCAUUGGCCACCUGAGAAAGAUUCACUGAAGCAAUCAAGACCAAGCUGAUUGCAAUGAUGUCGCUCAUCAGGCUUUCUGGAAACAGAUGGGAUAGAGUUUGAGGGAAGAGAUGUCUAUUAAGGAUCAAUAUUUGUGAAAGGAAGGGGAGGAGGAAAGAUUGGUCAGAGAAAGAGGUUGAACAUGAUGCAAGCCUGACAAAAAUUCAGCCGACCAGACUGAGGCCUCUGGAGUAAAUGCGGCCCAAUACUUAUCGUCCUUCAGGCCAACAUAGCCAGCCUUUGUGAUUUUGCCUUGCUCGUGGUUAUCUGUGGGCCAUCCUGGGAAGGUCAUGAUCUGUACAAGAUGACAUUGCACAAUCAUGAACAGUUUCCAUUCUGUUCUCUCCAGGAAAACAGUAGGCUAUAUGUACAUUCUCCUAAAGUAGUCUGGAGCAUAAGCACAAUCUUCAGCUUUAUUUGCAAAUUUGAGAAAUGGAUAAAUGCUCAACAGGCAUUUUUGGAUUAGUUGCACUAUUAUCAGUGAAAGAAGAAAGUAUUUUAAAAGCUUACCAGGUGGGUACUUAUAAGAACAGAGAAAUUUUCUCCUGAACAUGAUGUAUACCUCCAAACCCACAGAAGAAAAUGUGGCAUCUACCUAAUGCUCUCAAAUUGUAGUGAACAUAAUAAUCACCUCUGUAUUGGAGAUUUGGUAUUUUUGGCCACUAGGCACCCAAUCUCUCUUUUUAUUAGCACCAUGUGCUGGAUUGUCUGUUUCGACUUGGACAGUAAAGCACCAGGUCUAAGGCCCUGUGCAGAAAAUAGUUAACACAGCAGACCUGAAACUGCUGCCUUAAAAAAUCCUGCUUGAAAAGUUGGCUUUGGGUUGGUGUCUGGGGACUUGGAUUUUGAGAGGAUUUCCACCAUUCCCAGAACUGAUAAGAGUGGCUUGCUGUGCCUAGACUGUUUGUACAAACAAUAUGAUUUACGCUGAACAUCUGCUUUACCCUGGAAGUCUGGAAUGUUGGCUCAUGCUGGGCAGAGGGUACUUAUGUGACCAGCCCUCAAUAAAAACCUUGGGUACUAAGUCUUUAACACGCAGACUUAGGAAACAACAUUUCAAACAUGCUGUCAUAAACUGUUGCUGGAGGAAUUAAGUAUGUGUGCGACUCUACAGGAGAAGAAUUCUUGGAAGUUUGUACCUGGUUUCCUCUGGACUUCACUCAUUGUGCCCUUUCCUUUUGCUUGUUUUGCUUUGAAUCCUUUCACUGUAAUAAAUCAUAGCCA
Homo sapiens (human) is the source of this 1353-nucleotide long non-coding RNA. The record is from Ensembl. NCBI's taxonomy places the organism in Eukaryota, Metazoa, Chordata, Mammalia, Primates, Hominidae.